Molecule: ribosomal RNA, 793 nt
Filed under: Streptomyces sp.
Lineage: Bacteria; Bacillati; Actinomycetota; Actinomycetes; Kitasatosporales; Streptomycetaceae
Description: bacterial SSU rRNA
Rfam family: Bacterial small subunit ribosomal RNA
Source: RNAcentral
CGAUGAACCACUUCGGUGGGGAUUAGUGGCGAACGGGUGAGUAACACGUGGGCAAUCUGCCCUGCACUCUGGGACAAGCCCUGGAAACGGGGUCUAAUACCGGAUACUGAGCCUCGCAGGCAUCUGCGGGGUUCGAAAGCUCCGGCGGUGCAGGAUGAGCCCGCGGCCUAUCAGCUUGUUGGUGAGGUAACGGCUCACCAAGGCGACGACGGGUAGCCGGCCUGAGAGGGCGACCGGCCACACUGGGACUGAGACACGGCCCAGACUCCUACGGGAGGCAGCAGUGGGGAAUAUUGCACAAUGGGCGCAAGCCUGAUGCAGCGACGCCGCGUGAGGGAUGACGGCCUUCGGGUUGUAAACCUCUUUCAGCAGGGAAGAAGCGCAAGUGACGGUACCUGCAGAAGAAGCGCCGGCUAACUACGUGCCAGCAGCCGCGGUAAUACGUAGGGCGCGAGCGUUGUCCGGAAUUAUUGGGCGUAAAGAGCUCGUAGGCGGCUUGUCGCGUCGGUUGUGAAAGCCCGGGGCUUAACCCCGGGUCUGCAGUCGAUACGGGCAGGCUAGAGUUCGGUAGGGGAGAUCGGAAUUCCUGGUGUAGCGGUGAAAUGCGCAGAUAUCAGGAGGAACACCGGUGGCGAAGGCGGAUCUCUGGGCCGAUACUGACGCUGAGGAGCGAAAGCGUGGGGAGCGAACAGGAUUAGAUACCCUGGUAGUCCACGCCGUAAACGGUGGGCACUAGGUGUGGGCGACAUUCCACGUCGUCCGUGCCGCAGCUAACGCAUUAAGUGCCCCGCCU